This 497-nucleotide ribosomal RNA is filed under the name uncultured bacterium. RNAcentral's name for it is "partial 16S ribosomal RNA". It matches the Rfam family "Bacterial small subunit ribosomal RNA", at positions 28 to 507 of the family's 1533-position model. The record is from RNAcentral.
GAUGAACGCUGGCGGCGUGCCUAAUACAUGCAAGUCGAGCGAACAGACGAGGAGCUUGCUCCUCUGACGUUAGCGGCGGACGGGUGAGUAACACGUGGAUAACCUACCUAUAAGACUGGGAUAACUUCGGGAAACCGGAGCUAAUGCCGGAUAAUAUAUUGAACCGCAUGGUUCAAUAGUGAAAGACGGUUUUGCUGUCACUUAUAGAUGGAUCCGCGCCGCAUUAGCUAGUUGGUAAGGUAACGGCUUACCAAGGCAACGAUGCGUAGCCGACCUGAGAGGGUGAUCGGCCACACUGGAACUGAGACACGGUCCAGACUCCUACGGGAGGCAGCAGUAGGGAAUCUUCCGCAAAGGGCGAAAGCUUGACGGAGCAACGCCGCGUGAGUGAUGAAGGUCUUCGGAUCGUAAAACUCUGUUAUUAGGGAAGAACAAAUGUGUAAGUAACUAUGCACGUCUUGACGGUACCUAAUCAGAAAGCCACGGCUAACUACGUG